CUUUAGCCUGUUCUGUAAUGUUCUCAGUUCUGUUCACACAGGCCGAGCGCCCACCACGCACCAGACCUGGCGCCAACUGCUGGCCGGGGCCACUUCCUGGAGGGUUUUCACUUUCACUCACGGUCACCUGCACCUCGGCCACUUUGCCCAAGUCCAGGAACGAAAGGACCCAGAAGGGACGACAUAUGAUGUUCCUCCAGCAAAAUGAGCAGGACAGGUCUGUGCCUCUGAUGAGACAGCCACCGUGGCAGUGUGCCGGGAGCAGGACACAGUGGGUGAGAGGAGGCGGUGCCCACCCGGGAGCGGACUGGAACCCUCUUGGGCCACCGAGCAGCAGACUCUGCGGGACAUGGGUUCGAGCCCUGGUCUGGGAGGAUCCCGCGUGCCGCGGAGCGACUGGGCCCGUGAGCCACAGCUACUGAGCCUGCGCGUCUGGAGCCUGUGCCCCGCAACAAGAGAGGCCGCGAUAAUGAAAGGCCCGCGCACCGCGAUGAAGAGUGGCCCCCGCUUGCCGCAACUAGAGAAAGCCCUCGCGCGAAACGAAGACCCAACACAGCCCAAAUAAAUAAAUAAAUAAAUAAAGUAGCUAUUAAUUAAAAAAAAAAAAUAC
Long non-coding RNA from Balaenoptera ricei (Rice's whale), 610 nucleotides. RefSeq lists it as uncharacterized. NCBI's taxonomy places the organism in Eukaryota, Metazoa, Chordata, Mammalia, Artiodactyla, Balaenopteridae. The record is from RefSeq and is a predicted model, not a curated record. The transcript has 3 exons.